Long non-coding RNA from Alligator mississippiensis (American alligator), 2074 nucleotides. RefSeq lists it as uncharacterized. The transcript is spliced from 2 exons. NCBI's taxonomy places the organism in Eukaryota, Metazoa, Chordata, Crocodylia, Alligatoridae. The record is from RefSeq and is a predicted model, not a curated record.
AAAGCCAGCCCACGGGUGGGGCGAGCCUGUCCCCAGCACCCCGGGGGGGGGGAGAUGCCCCCCUCACGCCUGUGGAGAAAGAGAGUAUUUGACUGAAAAAUGAAACCAAAGAAGCGGCCGGGAUCCUGGAAAACCCUGCGGGUGAAAAUCCGAGUGGAGAAAUCCUAAACGUCUGCAGGCAAAUCGUGCCGGGACGUGCGGGAGGCUCCUGUGCCGUCUAGGCCCAGCUGGGUGGCCAGCCUCCGUCUCCCGGCGCCGGCAUCACGGGAGGACUGGGACGUGAGGCAGCCGAACCGCAACGUCCACGAAGCGCAACACGCGCGCCGAAUGGUUUUGGUUGUCUGCUUUUGUUCCAACACUAACAAAACAUUUAACCUUUUUAAGUGGUCUGCUUUACUCUCUCCCCGGCUGUUUUCCAGAGAGGGGAGGCAACGACUUUUCCACCGGUUCUGUGCCUCAGACUGAAGCCUUUCCUUUUGGAUGUACAGGCAGUCCUCAACUUACAACGUUUCGAGUGACAAUGUUUCGCACUUAUUAAAUGACACCCUGUUUCAACUUUCUGACGGAUCGAGCGUUGUAAAGUCGGAACUGAUGACGCCACGCCAGCAAGUUAGUUCGCUGCGUCGCCCGUCUCUCGUCUGUCCAAACUUCCUUGAAGUUUUAAGAAAGUGUCCAAGACUCCAGAAAAACCUGCAGCCAGGACUCCUGAGAAGACUCCAGCCAGGAGCCCGUAAAGAAGUCCAGCCAAGUCACCUCAAAGCCAAAUCAAUGUGAUUGCUAUUUACAAUAUAUAUACGUUAAUGUAGCUAUAUUACUCAUCUAUAAUUGAUUGAGUACAAAAUUCUGGGUUAUUUUUGGUGAAAAUAGGGCAGGAACCAAUCCCCCAUAUAUAACAUUGUUUCCUAUGGGAAAAAUCAGUUCCGAGUUGCAACGUUUCGACUUAAGACGCAGUCUCAGGAACCAAUUGUGUCAUAAGUCUGAGGAUUGCCUGUAUUUGGUGAUGCAUGUCCUCAUCCUCCACGGCAGUGACUGGCACCCUGAGUCGCUGCAAGAUCCCUUCGAGGGUGCUGCAGCACCUGGCCACUGUGGGAGGAAGUUGGGCACCCUACACACACCCCAGUGUCCUGCAGGCAAACAGCACCCCUGGGAGCUCCCAGUCCUGCCCCCCACCCUACUCCAGCCCCAGUGCCAGCUGCCCCCAUGCAAAGGGAUGGAUACGUGGCUGUAGAGCUCUGCUUUUCAGAUCAGCUCAUUCCCUCCUUCUUCCCAGGCUCCUGGACAUUGUGGAGGGCCUGCAAGGAAAGGUGGCUCUAGUCACUAGUAUGCAAGUCCAAAAAGGAGUAGCUGCAGCACUGGGGGCUGCGAUCUCCCCCUGAUGAUGAUGAAAUGAGUGUCACCACGCUCAUGUGUGGGAAACAUGAGGGCCAGAAAGCCAGCAACAGGUAGAGAAGGUGGAUCUGCAUGCUGUCUCACCCUCCCCAGCUCUCAGAAUCCACACAUUUGCAACUGUGCAUGCCCCCCCAGGGUUUGCCCCAGACCUGUACACCACUAUCCUGCACUUAAAAAAAAAAAAAUCUAAAUAACUGUUUCUAUCUUGGCCUAACACACAAAUGAGUGACACUUAUUAUUAGUUGUGGCAUGUAUCCUUAUAAUUCAAUUUUACAAGCCAGUCAAGUAAUAGCACCUAUCCCACAGAGUUUAUAAUCACAGAAAGAAAAUACAAUAAGGUUUCUAGACUGCAUUUCAAGGCAAAGAGGUGACUAAUGAGCAGGUAGGAAGGACGAUGGGAAGGGGGAGAGACCAGCUGAAUAACAAGGAGAUUGUUCCAGACAUAGAUACAGGAUGACUGUAGAUACAGAAACCAAGAUUGAGAAGAGACUAAUUAAGAUGAAAGACUUGGGGAGAGUGGAGGGAGCAGGAAGGGAGGAGUAUUAAAUACUGUUUACAAUGAUCACAGAUUCUUUUUCUAUUCUUACUACAUUAUCUCCAGCUGAGCUAAUGCUUCUCUGUAGAGAGAACAACAAAAUAUGCCUAGAUAUUAUGAAAAUAAAGGCUCUAGAAAUACUUAAAACAA